Molecule: long non-coding RNA, 622 nt
Filed under: Struthio camelus australis
Lineage: Eukaryota; Metazoa; Chordata; Aves; Struthioniformes; Struthionidae
Description: lncRNA (ENSSCUG00000013634.1)
Source: RNAcentral
UUUCCUGAGGCAACCUGGAGAUGCUUCAAGAGCCUAUCGGAGAUGUGAGAAAGCCUGGGGUCCGAGCUGGGCCGAGGGCAGCGCGCCCUGGGCUGCGCGGGGGAAAUGUGCCGCUGCCUCCUCACCAGGAAUCCCACUGCAAAGCCAGAAAUCACUGCUGGUGUCCUAAUCUGCAAUCCAGCACCUCUAGACUGUGGAUUUUGGAUAUAGACUCGACUCAGAAAUCUGAGGCUCAGGCCUACCUUCAGCCAGCGAGAACGUCCCUGGAAGAUUAGAGGUGGACAAGAUGCAGAAAUAAUGUUCUUCCAGACUAAGUAUGCUGCAUGGGUUUCAGUGUUCUCCACGACAAGCAAGUUUUUCAUGCUUAAAGAAGCAUAAAUUUGUACAGAAAGACGCUUACGUGACGCCUGGAAGGAGGCUCGUCCGGCGUGCCGAUGGGCGGCUCCGACUCGAGCAGGUACCACCUGCGCUCCUGCAAUAUGCAACAGAGGCAUCUGCUCACGGAUUUAAUAUUCUCCAACAUCUUUUGGUAAUCUCGCUGCUAUUUAAUUGCACCCUAAAGGCAGUGAAACGUUUGAAAACCUCCUCGCUGGGCUGACGCGGAUACUUGCAUGAGCAGCCG